AUAUUCAAGUUCCCCAAUAAUUUCAAUAAUUUCAUCUCGAUCUUACCCCCAAUUUUCCCCCAACCCUAACCCUAGAUUUCCUCUUCCAGAGAGAGAGAGAGUACCAUGGCAAGCGACGCCCAAGAACCCACCCGUUGCAAGCACCGCCGUUCCUCUCCCGACGGCGACGCAGAAGAGCCCUCGAAACGCCGCAAGCACCGGCACCAUCGUCACCGGCACCACCGCCGCCACAGCAGCCGAAAGCACGGAGAAGAAGAAGAAGUCCAAGUCGAAGACGAAAGAAAACGGGAGGUAGAAGAAGAGGUGGGGGAGGUUACUCUCCCUCUCCCUCUUCCGUCCUCGAAUUCGAGACCUAAUUAUGAUGAUAUGGAGGAAGGGGAGAUUGUCGAAGAAGACGAGGACUUGGGCGGAGUUCGGAGUGAAUCCGAUAAUCGCAAUUCGGAAAUUCACAUAGCUCAUGAUGAGUAUGGCCUUAAAUCUAGUCAUACUGUGGAAGGCAGUUUGGGUAGAAGUUUUCUUCACUCAAAGUUGUCAGAGGAGGACAAGAGUGAUGAGGUUUUGGUGAUUAAUGUGACCCCAACUGAAAAUUUUAUUUCGAUUGAUGGUAGUAAAAUCCCUAAAGAGGUUGGUUUGCUGGGGAAUGCAAGUUCUGAUCUUUGCAUGAAUGGUGAUAUUGGACUGGAAUCUAUUAGGGAAAACUAUAUGCCAGAUACAGGGUCUGAGUCCCCUCCUCUUGAAGGAAGCAUCAAGGUAAGGAGCUACUAUGAUGAUGACAUUGAUUUGAGGGUCCAUAUGAAGUCCUUGACGUCUGAAAACAAUGGGGACAGGCAGAAAAAUGUGCCAGGCUCACCUUUAAAUGCCAAAUUGUGUGAAGAGGUUCUUGGUAGGAAUAGAUCAAAGUCGCAUGAUGAGGAAAGGGGAAGGUCUGGGUCGCAAAGUGUUCUAGAAAAGGCUUCCCUCAUGAAAAAAACAAAUCAAAGGGAUUCUCCACAGUACCCGGAUAACAGGAGAAGUAUUUGUGAUUCUGAUGAUGACAAAAUGGUUGGACAGAAUAGAGAACACAGACAUGAGUAUAGAGAUUUGUUUGGGGAUAAAGAAAGGGAACGUAGUUCUAGUUAUGGCAGAUCUACUACAAGGCGAGUGGACCGGCACCACAGCCAAGACACUUGGGACAGAGAUAGGGAGGGUAGUCGGGAGACUUGGAACAGAGAUAGGGCGGGUAGGGACAUGGAUAGGGAUAGAAAAAGGGAGAGGGAACAGAACCGGGACAGGGACAGGGAGAGAGGAAUUGGUGGGGCCAAGCAUAGAGAUAGAGAUAGAGAGAGAGAUAGAGAUAGAGAUAGAGAUAGAGAGAGAGAUAGAGAUAGAGAUAGAGAUAGAGAGAGAGAUAGAGAUAGAGAUAGAGAUAGGGAGAGAGAAAAGGACAGGGAAAGAGAGGACAGAGAAAGGGUGAGAGAGAGGAGGAGGGAGAGCGAGAAGGAGAGGAAAUGGCAUAGGGAGAGCGGAAGGGAAAGAAGUAGAGACAGAGAAAGGGAUAAAGAAAUGUCUACCAGGCAUCGUAUUUACGAGAAACACGCUGAUGAUGGUUUUGAUAAUCGAGAUAGGUACUAUGACUCCAGGCGUAGGAGACGUGAUGAAACAGACCACAGGGACGGGGCCAGGAAAAAUGAUCCACAAAAAACUCAUUCUGCUAAAAUUGGUACUCUGGCUGAGCAUGAAGAGAAAUCUAAAAGAGAUAAAGUUGAACAAGAUGAGUAUCAAGAAAGGAUGGUUUUGCAACUUGAGGAGCAGGAAGAGGAAGAAGAUCUUAACAGAAUCAAGGAGGAAAGUAGAAGGCGAAGGCAAGCUAUCCUUGAAAAAUAUAAAUGUAAGCAGUUAAAUCAACGACACGAGCCUCAGUCGGAGGAUAAGGGUACAGACGAUGUUGAACAAACUUCUCAGGUGGCAGCUACCGUCAGUGGUACUCCAGAAACUCUUGAUGACAGGAGUGUAGGUGUCGAUACCUGUGUUACUGACUUAUCAUUUAAUGUGGGAAAAUCUCCGCAACAAAAUGGGAUAUCUUCUUUCGAGAGGACUUGUGGUGCUGGAGGACUGGGAGAGGGUACUCCUAAGAGUGAAAGGUCAGAUGAUAUCUUUCGGGAUGACAUUUUUGGAGAGUCGCCUGCUGGAGUUCGUAAAACAGGGAAAGGAGAUGGUUUGGCAAUUGAAAGAAGUGGUAUUCAUGACAAUUGGGAUGAUGCUGAAGGGUAUUAUAGCCACCGGUUUGGUGAAAUACUUGAUGGCCGAUAUGAGGUUACUGCUGCUCAUGGAAAAGGUGUCUUCUCAACUGUAGUGCGUGCAAAGGAUCUUAAGGCUGGACCUGGUGAUCCAGAAGAAGUGGCAAUUAAGAUAAUACGUAACAAUGAGACCAUGCAUAAGGCUGGUAAGGAGGAAUUGAUCAUAUUAAAGAAGCUAGUUGGUGCUGAUCCUGACAACAAGCGCCACUGUGUUCGUUUCCUUUCGUCUUUUAAGUACCGGAAUCAUCUUUGUUUAGUUUUUGAAUCCCUUCAUAUGAAUCUGCGUGAGGUCUUAAAGAAGUUUGGUCGUAACAUUGGGCUUAAAUUAACUGCGGUGCGAACUUAUGCGAAGCAACUUUUUAUUGCUCUAAAGCAUCUCAGAAACUGUGGUGUUCUUCACUGUGAUAUAAAGCCGGACAAUAUGCUGGUAAAUGAAGCGAAAAAUGUGCUGAAACUUUGUGAUUUUGGUAAUGCCAUGUUUGCUGGUAAAAAUGAAAUUACGCCUUACCUUGUGAGCCGCUUUUAUCGUGCCCCUGAAAUAAUUCUGGGCUUGUCUUAUGACCACCCAAUGGAUAUUUGGUCAGUUGGUUGUUGUUUAUUUGAGCUCUAUACCGGGAAAGUCCUUUUCCCAGGUGCUACAAAUAAUGACAUGCUUCGCCUUCAUAUGGAAUUAAAAGGUUCAUUCCCAAAGAAGAUGCUCAGAAAGGGAGCUUUUACAGAACAGCAUUUUGACCAGGAUUUGAAUUUUCUUGCCACAGAAGAGGAUCCUGUUACAAAGAAGACUAUGAAGAGGUUGAUCCCUACAAUCAAACCAAAAGAUAUAGCUGCAGUAUUUACGAGCUCUCCUGGUGAGGAUCCGAAGAUGCUAGCCAAUUUCAGAGAUCUUCUGGAAAAAGUUUUUGUGUUAGAUCCAGACAAGAGGAUAACAGUAUCACAGGCACUGAGCCAUCCUUUCAUCACGGAGCUCCGGGGACAGCUCUUGGCGUGGUGGAAGUUGGAAGAGAAGAUGUUUGGUGUGGAGAGUCUGGAGACCUCUUGGCGGUCCUUGCAGUGGAAUGUUUUCUGUUUCUAUUGAGAUUCUACCAGUGCUAUGAAGCAACCAUUCAGUGCUUUAGAUGCAUAAAAGGCACUCUGGAGAAGGACUACGCGCAGGAGGUGUAUUGCUGCAGCCUUGACGUAAAAUUACUUUUCAGGGUCAUGUCUCCAUUCCGCCACACAUUGCUUUGAGAAUGCCAUGAUGUUCCCACCCCUGAAUCACCAAGGCCUGCCUUGUGGGGUUUAAACCUUAAGUUGGAUCUUUGCUGUGCCCAAGAGAUAUAUCACUCGAGUAUGGAGAUGGAUUGCGGGUGGUGAUCCUGUGUGGCACUUCGAUUUGAGAUGCGUCUCUGUUAGAAAUAAGUUUUUAAUUAGAUCCUUCGUUGCAUUGUUGGAACUUGGAAAUGAAAUCCCGUUCUAUACCAAAACAAAAACAAGCCUCGUGCCAGUCUAUUGCACAUAUUCCCUUUGUCAUUGGUUUAUAAAAAUGGUAUGCUGUCCUGGGGCUGGAAUAAUGGAAUUGUAAUUGAGGUGAAGUGCUUUGGUUGGGUUGUCAAUGGGACUUUUGAAAGAAGAAUUUUGGUAACAGGGUGCUUGCAACUAUUAAGUACCACUGACUGAUUGCUAUGCAAUGUCUCACAUGCACUUGGAUAAUGCCUGGGGUGAGCCAAGUAUCCCAACAGUGACCGAUGGGUGGGCCUAUUUUGCUAUUUGUUUUUGUGUGUUUUUUGUGGUUUGGUUUCAAAUUUUAGCAUUCAAGACAAUACUGCGACUCUGCGAGUCUUGGAUCUGGAUUGUAGCAUUGAACAGCUGAUGAUGCUCAGAGUGAAAUUAUAUGUUCACCAAGGAUUUGACGUGUACUAUUUGUUAAUGAUUGAUAUCUUUCUGUGGUUUCAAUGCGUACAGAGGACAUUUCAGUAUGUCCCAUUUGAAGGGGGAUAAAAAUAAAAGAUAGAAAGAGUUUGCAGAGGCUUUAUUGACCUGCCUUUCUUAUAGAAAAAUUAUUAAGUUGCAUCCUUUACUUUUUUUUUUACCCGUAGAGAAUACGAAGUGUUGGAUUUGAUGUUAAUGCUUUUAUGUGUAAAAUUAUAUUAGAUUCUAAAGGAGUAAUUGACAUUUUUUUUCUGUAUAUUUCAGCAACACAAUCUGUUGUAUGAGACCUUAAAUAUUACUAACAUUUGUAGUUUGUUGCUCA
RNA transcript from Rhododendron vialii, 4506 nucleotides. RefSeq lists it as uncharacterized. The transcript has 17 exons. The record is from RefSeq and is a predicted model, not a curated record. NCBI's taxonomy places the organism in Eukaryota, Viridiplantae, Streptophyta, Magnoliopsida, Ericales, Ericaceae.